UCCGUAGGUGGAUAAUUAAGUCAGAGGUGAAAUCCUGCAGCUCAACUGUAGAAUUGCCUUUGAUACUGGUUAUCUUGAGUCAUUAUGAAGUGGUUAGAAUGUGUAGUGUAGCGGUGAAAUGCAUAGAUAUUACACAGAAUACCGAUUACGAAGGCAGAUCACUAAUAAUGUACUGACACUGAGGUACGAAAGCGUGGGGAGCGAACAGGAUUAGAUACCCUGGUAGUCC
RNAcentral lists this ribosomal RNA (229 nucleotides) under uncultured bacterium. Its description in RNAcentral is "partial 16S ribosomal RNA". It matches the Rfam family "Bacterial small subunit ribosomal RNA", at positions 568 to 796 of the family's 1533-position model. The record is from RNAcentral.